Molecule: long non-coding RNA, 847 nt
Filed under: Rattus norvegicus (Norway rat)
Lineage: Eukaryota; Metazoa; Chordata; Mammalia; Rodentia; Muridae
Description: long non-coding RNA NONRATT013005
Source: RNAcentral
GUGAAGUUAAAAUGAACUAUUUGGGGAAACCAUAUGUAGCUAUGGUUACAACCUACCAAAUGGCAGUUCUUCUUGCCUUUAACAACAGUGAAACUGUCAGCUACAAAGAGCUUCAAGACAGCACCCAGAUGAAUGAAAAGGAGCUAACUAAAACAAUCAAAUCAUUACUUGAUGUGAAAAUGAUUAACCAUGAUUCAGAAAAGGUAACCUUCCCAAGGACUUCAGCCCUUAGCAGAUAGAGGAUCUUGUGUGGGAUAUUGGUAGUUUUAAGGUUGUAUGAUAUUCAGAUGACUCUGUGAGUUAGCUUAGCGACUUUCCUAGGAGAAAAGGCCUUGACUUUUCCAACAAUAAACAAAAUGCUAUUGGGGGUUAACUGGAUCCAUCAGAGCCUUGGAAGCAACAGUUAUUUCUUCCAGGGUCAACUCUGGAAGUUGUAGUUAGUAUUGUGGUUACUGCAGCAGUGUCAGGCAGAAGAUAAUGUGUAUAAUGUCUGGGCCUUAAAAUAGCUACUUCCUACAUAGAAACUGAGUAACAUUAUGGUAAAUGUGAAAUCAGAAAAAAAAAUUUGUUUUAAAUAUAGGAAGAUAUCGAUGCAGAAUCUUCAUUUUCACUAAAUAUGAGCUUCAGCAGUAAGAGAACAAAAUUUAAGAUUACUACAUCAAUGCAGAAGGAUACACCACAAGUAAGUACUGGCUUGAAUGUCAUCUCUCCUAGAAAUAUCUAGGCGCAGUGCAUUGAGUGAGUCUACUUUAUACCAAGAUGUUGUGCACUGAGUGCUAACCACUGCACCUUGCUACAGCUCCAUCUGAAAGCAUCUUGGCCCAGAGGCUCACUCUUAAAAUACUGU